GUGUGUGUGUGUGUGUGUAUUUUAAUUUAUGCUGUCAUUUCCUCAUCUCUCUAAUUCAACCUUUUUAACUUUGGUCACAUGAAAUGUUUACAACCUUUCUGUUCCCUGCAUUGGUUUCAUAUUCAGAUUAUAUGGGAGUUUAUAAUUUCUAUCUCAUAGUCAUAGGUGGCAGGCUUCUUCAUGGUUUGGGAUUGUAGAAAAUUAUGUCUUUCUUUGAGGCCUAGUUACAAAAAAUUCAAAUGUUUGUGUAUUUUUCCGAUCUGAUCCAAACUUUUAAUCUUGGCACGAUAGGUCAGAUUUCUUAAGGUUGUUAAAAUUUUAUCCUUUUUUUGUCAACUGAAUGUUGAACUCCAUUUUUUGAC
Molecule: unclassified non-coding RNA, 362 nt
Filed under: Hevea brasiliensis (rubber tree)
Lineage: Eukaryota; Viridiplantae; Streptophyta; Magnoliopsida; Malpighiales; Euphorbiaceae
Source: RNAcentral